Molecule: ribosomal RNA, 660 nt
Filed under: Triticum aestivum (bread wheat)
Lineage: Eukaryota; Viridiplantae; Streptophyta; Magnoliopsida; Poales; Poaceae
Description: partial small subunit ribosomal RNA
Source: RNAcentral
AUGGCUCCUGUAGCUAUAGGGACUCUCAGUUCAUCACUCUUCACAGCCACCGUCCUCCUCACUUUCUUGACCUCUUUUGCCCCUGCUUCUUCAUUUGAUGGCACCACGCUGGGUGAUGAAUCUGGUAAGGACUUCCAAGCGCUCCUCUGUCUCAAGAACCAUCUCUCUAACAACACCGAAGCCCUCGCCUCGUGGAACAAUACCCUUCAGUAUUGCACUUGGCCUGGUGUCACCUGUGGCAAGAAGCACGCAUCUCGCAUCACAAUACUUGACCUUGAAUCUCUUAGUUUGAACGGCCAAAUACCACCCUGCAACGGUAAUCUCACUUUCCUCGCGAGAAUCAACCUCCAGGAUAACCUGCUGAAUGGUGGGAUCCCGCCAGAGAUUUAUCUUGAUAGCAACGUGCUCCACGGAAGCAUUCCGGAUGGGUUCGGCAUGCUUCCUAAGCUUUCAGUUAUGUAUGUUCCAAGCAACAAGUUAACGGACAAGAUUCCUUACUCACUUGGAAGCAGCUCAUCACUCUACUAUGUCGUCCUGGCAAACAACAGCCUAACUGGAGGCAUCCCACCUCUCUUAGCAAAUAGUUCAUCACUUGAAUGGCUGGACUUGGGAAGCAAUGACCUCGACGGAGAGGUACCUCCUCCUCUCUUCAACAGCUAG